ACGUGAGAAUCUACCCUAAGGAGGGGAAUAACAGCUGGAAACGGUUGCUAAUACCCAUAUGCCGAAAGGUAAAGGAAUUUAUUCCACCUUAGGAAGAGCUCGCGCCUGAUUAGCUAGUUGGUUGGGGUAAAGGGACCCACCCAAGGCCAUGAUCAGUAGCUGGUUUGUAGAGGACGGUCAGCCACACUGGGACGUGAGACACGGCCCAGACUCCUACGGGAGGGCAGCAGUGGGGAAGUUUUCCGUCAAUGGGCGAAAGCCUGACGGAGCAAUACCGCGUGAGGGAUGAAAGCUUGUGGG
RNAcentral lists this ribosomal RNA (300 nucleotides) under uncultured bacterium. RNAcentral's name for it is "bacterial SSU rRNA". It matches the Rfam family "Bacterial small subunit ribosomal RNA", at positions 115 to 422 of the family's 1533-position model. The record is from RNAcentral.